This 1327-nucleotide long non-coding RNA is filed under the name Chloebia gouldiae (Gouldian finch). RNAcentral describes it as "Erythrura gouldiae (Gouldian finch) lncRNA (ENSEGOG00005010200.1)". Lineage: Eukaryota; Metazoa; Chordata; Aves; Passeriformes; Passeridae. The record is from RNAcentral.
CCCAGGUGUAUUUUGGGCACCCCCAGGUGUAUUUUGGGUGCCCCCAGGUGCAUUUUGGGUACCCCCAGGUGUAUUUUGGGCACCCCCAGGUGUAUUUUGGGCACCCCCAGGUGCAUUUUGGGUGCCCCCAGGUGUGUUUUGGGUGCCCCCAGGUGUGUUUUGGGUGCCCCCAGGUGCCCCCAGGUGCCCCCAGGUGUGCCCAGGUGUAUUUUGGGCGCCCCCAGGUGUAUUUUGGGCACCCCCGGGUGUAUUUUGGGUGUCCCCAGGUGUGCCCAGGUGCCCCCAGGUGUGCCCAGGUGUGCCCAGGUGUAUUUUUGGGUGUCCCCAGGUGUAUUUUGGGUACCCUGGGCUCUAUCCCGGGUGUAUUUUGGGUACCCCCAGGUGUAUUUUGGGUGCCCUGAGAUGCCCCCAGGUGUAUCCCAGGUGUGCCCAGGUGUGCCCAGGUGUAUUUUGGGUACCCCCAGGUGUAUCCCAGGUGUGCCCAGGUGUGCCCAGGUGUGCCCAGGUGUAUUUUGGGUACCCCCAGGUGUAUCCCAGGUGUGCCCAGGUGUGCCCAGGUGUGCCCAGGUGUGCCCAGGUGUGUUUUUGGGUACCCCCAGGUGUAUUUUGGGUACCCCCAGAUGUGUUUUGGGCACCGCCAGGUGUGUUUUGGGUGCCCCAGGUGUAUUUUGGGUACCCCCAGGUGUAUUUUGGGUGUAUUUUGGGUGCCCCCAGGUGUAUUUUGGGUGCCGCCAGGUGUAUCCCAGGUGCCCCCAGGUGUGCCCAGGUGUGCCCAGGUGUGCCCAGGUGUGCCCAGGUGUGCCCAGGUGUAUUUUUUGUCCCCCCAGGUGCAUUUCACCCCCGAGUGCCGCUUCAAGGAGUGCCCUGGGUGUCCCUGGGCUCUGUCCCAGGUGUAUUUUGGGUACCCCCAGGUGCAUUUUGGGCACCCCCAGGUGCAUUUUGGGUGCCCCCAGGUGCAUUUUGGGCACCCCCAGGUGUGUUUUGGGUGCCCCCAGGUGUGUUUUGGGUGCCCCCAGGUGUGUUUUGGGUGCCCCCAGGUGUAUUUUGGGUACCCCCGGGUGUAUUUUGGGCGCCCCCAGGUGUGCCCAGGUGUGCCCAGGUGUGCCCAGGUGUAUUUUUGGGUGUCCCCAGGUGUAUUUUAGGUACCCUGGGCUCUGUCCCAGGUGUAUUUUGGGUACCUCCAGGUGUAUUUUGGGCACCCCCAGGUGUAUUUUGGGUACCCUGAGGUGCCCCCAGGUGUAUCCCAGGUGUGCCCAGGUGUGCCCAGGUGUAUUUUUUCUCCCCCCAGGUGCAUUUCACGCCCGAGUGCCGCUUCAAGGAGUGCGUG